Molecule: ribosomal RNA, 549 nt
Filed under: uncultured bacterium
Lineage: Bacteria
Description: bacterial SSU rRNA
Rfam family: Bacterial small subunit ribosomal RNA
Source: RNAcentral
CCUACGGGAGGCAGCAGUCGGGAAUCUUGCGCAAUGGGCGAAAGCCUGACGCUGCAACGCCGCGUGAGCGACGAAGGCCUUCGGGUCGUAAAGCUCUGUUGUUGGGGACGAAGGGUUAGGGGUUAAUAGCCCCGAGCCUGACGGUACCCUUCGAGGAAGCCCCGGCUAACUACGUGCCAGCAGCCGCGGUAAUACGUAGGGGGCGAGCGUUGUCCGGAAUUAUUGGGCGUAAAGAGCGUGUAGGCGGCCCGGUAAGUCCGCCGUGAAAACUCGGGGCUCAACCCCGGGCUUGCGGUGGAUACUGUCGGGCUAGAGGGUGGUAGAGGGGAGUGGAAUUCCCGGUGUAGCGGUGAAAUGCGCAAAUAUCGGGAGGAACACCAGUAGCGAAGGCGGCUCCCUGGGCCAUUCCUGACGCUAAGACGCGAAAGCGUGGGGAGCAAACAGGAUUAGAUACCCUGGUAGUCCACGCCGUAAACGAUGAACACUAGGUGUUGGGGGGAGUCUAAUUCCUCUGUGCCGCACCUAACGCGAUCAGUGUUCCGCCUGGGG